CAAUAGCGUAUAUUAAAGUUGUUGCAGUUAAAACGCUCGUAGUUGAACAUCUGCCCUUUUCCGGUUAGGUCCGCUCUGCGUGCACCUUCCGAAAUCGGCAUCCGUCUGCGUUGCUUCGCAUUGCAGACCGUUCACUUUGAGGAAAUUAGAGUGUUCAAAGCAGGCUUACGCCUUGAAUACUUCAGCAUGGAAUGAUUGAUAGGACUUCUAUCCUAUCUUGGUUCUAGGGACAGAAGUAAUGGUAAACAGGGUUGGUUGGGGGCAUUCGUACUGAACAGUCAGAGGUGAAAUUCUUAGAUUUGUUCAAGACGAACAACUGCGAAAGCAUUUGCCAAGGACGACCCCAUUAA
Molecule: ribosomal RNA, 350 nt
Filed under: uncultured eukaryote
Lineage: Eukaryota
Description: partial 18S ribosomal RNA
Rfam family: Eukaryotic small subunit ribosomal RNA
Source: RNAcentral